Molecule: ribosomal RNA, 407 nt
Filed under: uncultured Chthonomonadales bacterium
Lineage: Bacteria; Bacillati; Armatimonadota; Chthonomonadia; Chthonomonadales
Description: bacterial SSU rRNA
Rfam family: Bacterial small subunit ribosomal RNA
Source: RNAcentral
AUUAGGAAUCUUGCGCAAUGGGCGAAAGCCUGACGCAGCGACGCCGCGUGGAGGAGGAAGGCCUUCGGGUUGUAAACUCCUUUUGUCGGGGAAGAAACAAAUGACGGUACCCGACGAAUAAGCUCCGGCUAACUCCGUGCCAGCAGCCGCGGUAAUACGGAGGGAGCGAGCGUUGUCCGAAGUUACUGGGCGUAAAGCGCGCGUAGGCGGGGGAUUAAGUGAGAAGUGAAAGGCUGGGGCUCAACCCCAUGCAGUGCUUCUCAUACUGGUCCUCUUGAGGGCGGUAGAGAGAAGUGGAAUGGCUGGUGUAGCGGUGAAAUGCGUAGAUAUCAGUCGGAACACCGGUGGCGAAGGCGGCUUCUUGGGCCGUUUCUGACGCUGAGGCGCGAAAGCCAGGGGAGCGAACG